Lysinibacillus macroides is the source of this 72-nucleotide non-coding RNA. Lineage: Bacteria; Bacillati; Bacillota; Bacilli; Caryophanales; Bacillaceae. The record is from Rfam.
GCGGAAGUAGUUCAGUGGUAGAACACCACCUUGCCAAGGUGGGGGUCGCGAGUUCGAACCUCGUCUUCCGCU